UAGGGAAUCUUCGGCAAUGGACGAAAGUACUGACCGAGCAACGCCGCGUGAGUGAAGAAGGUUUUCGGAUCGUAAAACUCUGUUGUUAGAGAAGAACAAGGGUGAGAGUAACUGUUCACCCCUUGACGGUAUCUAACCAGAAAGCCACGGCUAACUACGUGCAG
RNAcentral lists this ribosomal RNA (164 nucleotides) under uncultured bacterium. Its description in RNAcentral is "partial 16S rRNA". It matches the Rfam family "Bacterial small subunit ribosomal RNA", at positions 355 to 510 of the family's 1533-position model. The record is from RNAcentral.